CUCUCAUAUUAAUAGGCAGUUCUGUGCUACUGGCUAACAUCAAACUUAUUCACGUUGUGUCAAGUGGCAGUUUUGCGUAUACCGUCUGUAAGGUCCUUCUUCAACAUUGAAAAGAUCAUUCAUCUUGACCCUUCAAAGGCACCCCCAAAGAAAGGAUUCAUCGAAGGCUUCAAGGAAUCCUAUAGUAAUGCACGAAUAUCAGCUGAAAUUAAAGAAAGGAAACAGCGGGACUUGAUGAGAUUUAAAAAGGCUGGUUCGGGACCUGUUGUGAAAACAUAUGCAACUGAUCCAACAAAGAAGACGAUGCCAACGAAAGAAAGGGUUUCUGCAAAAAACAGAUAGGCUUACAUUUUGUUGCAAGCAGGCAGUAAUUUGAUCUAUCUUAGAACAGAUAUUGUGAAUCCUGUUGACGUUUAUGCAAACUAGAAGCCUGUGUGUGCAAAGACCUAUCUGACUCUGAGUGAGAGAUGAUACUAAUGAUCAAUGAUACUUUCAGAUAUAGGAAAAUAAUUCACACGUACUUGGUGCAAAAUGGUGCACUGGUGCUUAAAUGCUGUUCAUUGAUGGGCGUCAUCACGCAUUUACAUAUUAAUCUUGGAUUAGCAUGAUGCAAACAAAAAUGUCAUCAGUUACUGCUUUUGUGGCAAGGUGGUCUGCAAUGAUAUAGCUCAAAUCUAGUGUUUUCACCUGUAGUUGAAUGUUUCUGGUCACUCAGGUAAUGUUGUAGGUGUAAUAUGUAAAAUACAUGUAAAUUAUUAAAUACUAUUACGAAAUAGUAUUUGUAAGUGAAUUUUUGGCAGUCUUUAAGAGUAGUUGGAUUUUGGAAAACGUUUUCGAUUUUAUUGUGAUGCUCAUUAUGGUAGAGAUAAUGAUCAAUGCUAUCCCAAAAUCUUGUAUAUUGCUUAUUCUGUAGUUUCACAGAAUACAAUGUGGUAAUUUGUAAUUUUGUUUGACCUGUCCUUGUUUUACUGUUAAAAAUAACUUAAGAUAUACCGGUACCAACAACUUGAUAGUUUUAAAGAACAACCGAGUACAUGACCACUUUUGUUUUAUUUUACACACUUGAUUAUACAUCACAACAGGUAAUAUAAAUCUAGUUUUCAUUGAACCUGUACUGUAUAAAGUGACAUAACCCUUUGAAACUGCCCUUUGUUAUACAUCAGAACCACACGAACGCUGCUUUUUACAAUAAAAUUCAAAAGCCCAUGAUAAUUGCGAUGACAAAAUGAUUCGUUUACUAUCAAAAUAUUGAUGAAAACCUGCAAACAUUACUGUCUGUGUUUAAACAACUUCAGUAGCCCUGAUUUACUAUAUUACUAAAAUUGUAAUGUACAAUAGACUCCUGCAAAAUGGCAGUGGGUAAAAAAGAACUAUUUGUUAUUUGAUUAUAACCAAUGUGCAAAAUUUUCUCACCUACAAAUCAACAACAAAUCUACUAAUGAUCACAAAGGGUUAGAUAUGAGGAUAUUGUGUCUGGCCAACUGACAACUAGCUCUCCAAUGUCAAGAAAACAUACAUAGGAAUGCAAUAUAGAAAAUGUAUUAAUUGACAAUUUUGAA
Long non-coding RNA from Priapulus caudatus, 1559 nucleotides. RefSeq lists it as uncharacterized. NCBI's taxonomy places the organism in Eukaryota, Metazoa, Priapulida, Priapulimorpha, Priapulimorphida, Priapulidae. The transcript is spliced from 2 exons. The record is from RefSeq and is a predicted model, not a curated record.